GCCGGACACGGGACUCAUCCAGCCCCAUGGAGGCUCCAGUCCGGGCUGGAGCUUUGGAGCGGAUCAUUUACAAGGAACUGGAUUACUAUACACAACUUGGGUGCAAACCGCCACACGGGCCCACUUCAACCAAAACUGGUCUGACGUGAGAGCAGCCAUCUGAAGAGCAGCCGCGGGAUCAUGAGGCGAAGGAGUCCUGCAGGUUGUCAGAUCAGUUUUGGACGAAGGAUGUGGUGAAAAGCUGCGCAGCGGUGACAGAUGCAAGUUUAUGAAAGGACCGGAGUCUCUGCGGGAUUGGAGGUGUUGUUUUAUAGCGACGAGGAGGCUCAGAGCUGAAGGGAAGAGGAGGCCACUUCAGCUUGUUUACACGAACUAUGAAACCGCUGUUCAGCAGGAUAUAUUUACUGUGUGUCUUUUAAACAUGAGCUCCGUUACGCACCAGAACGGGAGGGAAACUUUAUCUUCACAAACCGUGUGACACAGAGGUUUCCCUGCCUCCUGGAGCAACCUUGAGAAAAAGACAAAAAAAAAAUCCUUGCCAAAAUCUGCAGAAUAAAGUGACAUAUUUCACGUUUCAAAAAAUACCUGCCUCCCUGACACGCACGCUCGUUCCCUCUCCUCCUCCCAGGCCUUUUGUUUUCUUUGACACGUGCACUCCAAUUAGCAUUUUUCAGCCAUUAAGGAGGAACGAGAAACAGCCAAAUGUUUGUCUCAGCCGGCACUUUUCUCACCGACAAGACUUUUCUUUCCGAGGCCUGGUGGAGAAAAAAAAAGAAAGAGAAAGAAUGAACAUUUUUUUUUUUACAUUCAGACAGACUCAAUAUUAUCCUCGAUGUUAACAUUAUCUUCUUCACACAACAAUUACCAAUAGCUUUGUGCGAGAAAGUGAUGUGACAAUGCAGCCACUAGGGUUUGUGAGAGCUGUUGUCAGUCUGCAUUUUGGAGCAAUUAAAACGAUUAAAAUGAGUUUUUAUGAGAGAACACAGGCGAGGAGGAUUAUUUUCUUCCUGGGUGAAGUCCUGUGAUCUGUUAACUAAAUAUUUCACUGUCUCAGACGGAGGAACACCAGGCACAAUACAACUAACCUUUUCUACAAUAAAACACAACAGUCUCUGGAGGAUAACACGCAGAAAACGUUCAGUUCGACAGUGGGAGCACACUGAGAAGUCGACUUUUCUUCUUCUUUUUUUUUGUCAUCUGUCCUCUUGUGUGUCAAAUUAGAGCGUCCUAAUCUUCAGCUUUACUCCUAAAUUUAAAUCAGCGAAUUUCAAAUUGCUCAGAUCCCUCGCUGCGGGCUUUGGCUGCGAAAAUCUGUCACCGCCGCUGGUGCGCUGUACAUUAAGGGAGGAAAAUGCUCUUAAAAAGGUGCUUUUCUGACAUUAAAAUGACUUGUGUGCACAGCGCCGCUCGAUCCGUGUAGUUUGAGGCAUAUAUUUAUGAAUAGGAACCUUUAAUUAGGGCUUGUGUUUCCUCCCUAGUCACAUUGAGGGAUGGUCCUCGCCGACAUUCAUUAAUGAUAAUCACCAAGAGCGAUGGCAUAGCUACAGGCCAAGUCUCCGGGGACCCGACACUUGAAAAGAAGCAUUAAAUUACACAGAGGGACUCUUUAAUUGCAAAAAGGAAAAUAUAUAGCCAUCAUUGUUAAAUAUGAUCUUUUGUAAGCCUUUACUGGUUCAAGGAUUUGUCUAAGGGUUUCUUAUCCUCAGUCUUUCAAAUGGAUCUAGAGCUAUUUCUGCGAUAAUGCACAGAGCCCCCUUAGAUUUAUUUAUCAAGCAAAAACUGAGAAUGUAGGAUCAUUCUACACGUUAGCAUUUUGUUGUAUAAUCACAUUCCAUAUGAAAAUAUAAAGCAAGACAUAGAGUGACUGCGCAUUCACAGAAAAGUUGUGUUUGACCUAAAAACACAACUUUAUCAACCUCAAUCUGUAGGAGACAUGUAGCUGUGUAGUUGAAAAUUGCACAUCAGCUUCGUCGGGGGAAAAGCAAGAUUGUGCACAUGCGACUGGCGUGAUUCCACUUAUCUUAAGUCCAUCUUUAAGAUUAGAACGAUUACCAUUUAUGUGCGUGUGCGUCUCAGGACAAUAAGAUAUGUUCAAAACGAUGUUCAAAAAUGUGUUUAUAGUGGAAGGAGCCUCAGCCACAGACACUAAUAUCAAGAUGUGAUAUUCCCUGAACAGAUAGAUUUUGAAAGUAUUGAUGAUUUUUUAAAAGCAUCUUUACUUGUAUCUCUAUUUAUUUCUGUUUUGUUAUUACCCGUGUUUUACCAACUACUCAACUUGUAAAUUUAGCGAUAAUUAUCGAUAUAAUUAUUUACUGCCUCUUAUCUUUUUGUCCUCUGGUCUGGACGAGUUGUUCUUGAUCUGUGUCCUUGUGGUGAAGACAGGGGAUGCAGAUGAUAAAAACAAAAUCUUCUUUGUUAAUGAAAAGAUCUCGAUCGGGGGAAAAAAGAGAGGUUGUGCAUGAAGACACACAGACAUGACGCACACGUUCGUACUCACACACACCAACUCGUGACCUAAUUGCUCAGUCUCACUCAACUAAUUAAUCACAGCUGACUUAACAUGGUGACAAGGUUAGGUAGGUGACAUUCUCCAAAAAAUCUGCCUCCUCUUUUUCUCCUUCCUGCUCCCGUCUAACCCUCCUCGUGUUUCUCCACUUGGCUUCUUCUUCCUUUAUCCCUUUAUUUUGCCAUCUUUAGUUUUCCCCUGCACUACAUUUCUCUUUUUAUUUCUCAUUUCUUUCAUUAUUUUGUGGAAUCCUUUCUUCCAUGUCGUCUGACUUUCAACCUUA
Molecule: long non-coding RNA, 2789 nt
Organism: Hippoglossus stenolepis (Pacific halibut)
Lineage: Eukaryota; Metazoa; Chordata; Actinopteri; Pleuronectiformes; Pleuronectidae
Exons: 3
Source: RefSeq, a predicted model, not a curated record